This is a small nuclear RNA of Phyllostomus discolor (pale spear-nosed bat), 197 nucleotides long. RefSeq annotates it as U2 spliceosomal RNA. The transcript has a single exon. Lineage: Eukaryota; Metazoa; Chordata; Mammalia; Chiroptera; Phyllostomidae. The record is from RefSeq and is a predicted model, not a curated record.
AUGAUUUCUUGGCCUUUUGGCUAAGAUCAAGUGUAGUACCUACUAUUUUCUGAAGCUCAAGGUCUCCAUAACGUGGCAGAAACUCUCAUUGAAAACAAUUGUUUUGAUGUACAUUAAAAACUGUAUUUUUGCUUUUAUUUUAUGAGCCUCACAAAAUUCUUUUUUCAAUUUCAGAAGUUCAUUGAAAAAGAUGUUUU